RNAcentral lists this ribosomal RNA (446 nucleotides) under uncultured bacterium. RNAcentral's name for it is "partial 16S ribosomal RNA". It matches the Rfam family "Bacterial small subunit ribosomal RNA", at positions 338 to 795 of the family's 1533-position model. The record is from RNAcentral.
CCUACGGGUGGCAGCAGUCGAGAAUCAUUCACAAUGGGGGAAACCCUGAUGGUGCGACGCCGCGUGGGGGAAUGAAGGUCUUCGGAUUGUAAACCCCUGUCAUGUGGGAGCAAAUUAAAAAGAUCGUACCACAAGAGGAAGAGACGGCUAACUCUGUGCCAGCAGCCGCGGUAAUACAGAGGUCUCAAGCGUUGUUCGGAAUCACUGGGCGUAAAGCGUGCGUAGGCUGUUUCGUAAGUCGUGUGUGAAAGGCGCGGGCUCAACCCGCGGACGGCACAUGAUACUGCGAGACUAGAGUAAGGGAGGGGGAACCGGAAUUCUCGGUGUAGCAGUGAAAUGCGUAGAUAUCGAGAGGAACACUCGUGGAGAAGGCGGGUUCCUGGACAUUAACUGACGCUGAGGCACGAAGGCCAGGGGAGCGAAAGGGAUUAGAUACCCCUGUAGUC